UAUCACUAAGCGGAGGAAAAGAAACUAACCAGGAUUCCCCUAGUAACUGCGAGUGAAGAGGGAUUAGCCCAGCACCGAAGCCUGUGGUCAUUUGACUGCUAGGCAAUGUGGUGUUUAGGUUGGUUCUUGGCAUUACUGCUCUACUCCAAGUCCAGCAAUGAGUACGGCUUACUGGAACGGCCCAUAGAGGGUGAAAGGCCCGUGGGGGUAGAGGCUUACAGUUUUGUCCUGAAUUGACCAUGGAGUCGGGUUGUUUGUGAAUGCAGCCCAAAGUGGGUGGUAAACUCCAUCUAAGGCUAAAUACUGGCACAAGUCCGAUAGUAAACAAGUACCGUGAGGGAAAGUUGAAAAGUACUUUGAAGAGAGAGUAAACAGUGCGUGAAACCGCUCAGAGGUAAACGGGUGGAGUUGAACUGCAAUCCUUGAGGAUUCAGCUGAUGAGUAUGACAUGGGCUUGGACAUAUUGACUGGCGCUCAGAGAUCAGCGAUUUGCUGGGUUUCUGCUCUUCGGAGUGGGAAUGCAUUGUGUACUUGUCAAGUAUACGGCUCUUUGGGUUGACCGGGUCUGCUCGUCAGUGCACUUUCUCUUGGUGUUCACCACGACCGGCACUGCUGUCUGUCUACUAUGGUUAAACCGGUUAGGCUUAGUCUUAUGGCUAGGCUUGAUCGGGAUGGCAGGUAGCUCUUUGAUUCUUGUCAGCUUCGGUUGGCUUGAGUCUUUGAGUGUAAUUAGCUGACUGUAGUGGAUCUGUGCAGUGUGUCGGAGCUGGCGGCUUUGGUAUGUGCAUGCGUGCUAUGGCCUUUUGGCGGAGCUGAGUCUGGUCGGCAAGUUACCUGUUUUGGCAGGUCGGUCGAUGUCUUAGUUUCGUUCAUUGGGUGGUGGCGUGUGUGAUACUAUCUUGGGCCAAUAGUCUGUGGUGUAGUGGUAAACGAUCCACCUGACCCGUCUUGAAACACGGACCAAGGAGUUUAACAUGUACGCGAGUCAUUGGGCGUUACGAAACCCAAAGGCGUAAUGAAGGUAAAGGUUCGGCUUGUCCGAGCUGAGGUGAGAUCCUGCUGUUUCCUUUGCCUUGCACUGUCAAGCUUUCGAGCAGUAGGCGC
Molecule: ribosomal RNA, 1104 nt
Filed under: Spirorchis sp.
Lineage: Eukaryota; Metazoa; Platyhelminthes; Trematoda; Strigeidida; Spirorchiidae
Description: eukaryotic LSU rRNA
Rfam family: Eukaryotic large subunit ribosomal RNA
Source: RNAcentral